UACAGAGGUCUCAAGCGUUGUUCGGAUUCAUUGGGCGUAAAGGGUGCGUAGGUGGUGACGCAAGUCUGGUGUGAAAUCUCGGAGCUCAACUCCGAAAUUGCACCGGAUACUGCGUGACUCGAGGACUGUAGAGGAGAUCGGAAUUCACGGUGUAGCAGUGAAAAUGCGUAGAUAUCGUGAGGAAGACCAGUUGCGAAGGCGGAUCUCUGGGCAGUUCCUGACACUGAGGCACGAAGGCCAGGGGAGCAAACGGG
RNAcentral lists this ribosomal RNA (254 nucleotides) under uncultured bacterium. RNAcentral describes it as "partial 16S ribosomal RNA". It matches the Rfam family "Bacterial small subunit ribosomal RNA", at positions 524 to 776 of the family's 1533-position model. The record is from RNAcentral.